CGCGGGGUAGAGUAAUAGUAAUUCGUAAGGCUCAUAACCUUGAGAUGCCGGUGCAAUUCCGGCCCCCGCAACAA
This 74-nucleotide transfer RNA is filed under the name Candidatus Taylorbacteria bacterium RIFCSPHIGHO2_01_FULL_43_47. Its description in RNAcentral is "tRNA-Met". It matches the Rfam family "tRNA". Rfam says of the family: Transfer RNA (tRNA) molecules are approximately 80 nucleotides in length. Their secondary structure includes four short double-helical elements and three loops (D, anti-codon, and T loops). Lineage: Bacteria; Candidatus Tayloriibacteriota. RNAcentral also lists the same sequence under 3 other names. The record is from RNAcentral.